GCCGGAGUAGCUCAGCUGGUAGAGCAGCGCAUUCGUAAUGCGCGGGUCGGGAGUUCGAGUCUCUUCUCCGGCACCA
RNAcentral lists this transfer RNA (76 nucleotides) under Steroidobacter denitrificans. RNAcentral describes it as "tRNA-Thr". It matches the Rfam family "tRNA". From Rfam's summary of the family: Transfer RNA (tRNA) molecules are approximately 80 nucleotides in length. Lineage: Bacteria; Pseudomonadati; Pseudomonadota; Gammaproteobacteria; Steroidobacterales; Steroidobacteraceae. RNAcentral also lists the same sequence under 2 other names. The record is from RNAcentral.